RNAcentral lists this ribosomal RNA (253 nucleotides) under uncultured bacterium. RNAcentral's name for it is "partial 16S ribosomal RNA". It matches the Rfam family "Bacterial small subunit ribosomal RNA", at positions 524 to 776 of the family's 1533-position model. The record is from RNAcentral.
GACGUAGGGCGCGAGCGUUGUCCGGAUUUAUUGGGCGUAAAGAGCUCGUAGGCGGCUUGUCGCGUCGACUGUGAAAACCCGCGGCUCAACUGUGGGCUUGCAGUCGAUACGGGCAGGCUGGAGUUCGGUAGGGGAGACUGGAAUUCCUGGUGUAGCGGUGAAAUGCGCAGAUAUCUGGAGGAAUACCGGUGGCGAAGGCGGCAUCCUGGACCGAGAUUGACACUGAUGAGCGAAAGCUAGGGGAGCAAACGGG